Molecule: long non-coding RNA, 5254 nt
Organism: Solanum stenotomum
Lineage: Eukaryota; Viridiplantae; Streptophyta; Magnoliopsida; Solanales; Solanaceae
Exons: 3
Source: RefSeq, a predicted model, not a curated record
AAAUAAAAUAAAAUAAAAUUCAGUCAGUUUAAUUCCACCACACACAAGAAAAUUUUAUCUUAAAAAUGGUCCUUACCUAAUAUCAGUGAUGAGGAAAAUCAGGUUUCGAUUAUGCGUAAUCUGUUUUGUUUUCAGUUUACGAAAAUGAAAAUUCCUACUUAAUUGGUUAAAAUAAAUAAAUGACUACUAAAUUAAAUUUUCCACCUUAUGUUGUGCGUGAGCUGGGUAUAGCUUUUAUCAAGCAUCUAUUUGUAGAGUUCUAUUUGGUCAUUUGAUUUUAGAUAUGUAGAGUAGAUAGUUUUUUGAAGGUUGAUUUGGAGAUUCAUGUGGAAUUUUCCUUGCAGCGUCAAGUCAAAUUUAAGGUAUGUUUUCCUGCAUCUACUCCUUUUUGAGGAUUUUACCAUGCGAUCUGCUAAUUUCUCUAUUGGUGUUAAAGUAUUUAGUCCUUUUUGUAAGCUUUAGGGUUCUUCAGUCACGGAUCUAAUGUGAUAUGGUGUUCAUCAAUGAUCUGUGAUCCACCCAGGACGAGUUUCCCAUGACUCGUGCUAAUUUUACAUUAAUUAGCUUCUAUUAUCUUACAUAACAAUCUCUCCUUCCCAAACAGAUGGAGGUGUUUUAUUCAGAGAAGGUUAACUGCGGUGAAUUAUGGCGUAAUUAGAAUUUAAAUAAAUGCAGUAUGAGUUACAACGUUUAUAGUUAAAUUGUUGUUGAAAUUUAGGGGAAAAAAAGAACUGGUUGAUUCAAGGCCAAAGCAGUGUUUCCAUCUGAUUUUAUCAAUGACAGUAGAUAAUAACUAAACGUGUUCAGAAAUCAUCAACCCAUUCGGGAUUUCGGAACACAGGUUUGAGACUAGUUCUUAGGUUGUUUAUGUUCAGUGUUCGUGAAAAUAAGUGGAAGAUCUAAUGGAUUGAGAAGGAUCUUACUCCCUUCAAAGUACAUGGUUGACAAAAGAGGUACUUAUGAUGCUGCUGAAGCAUCUUGUUACCAUCCAACAAGUGUAACUACGAUUCUGUAGUUUGGUCAUGUCGACCAUACAUGAUGUUUUUGACAUCAUAAAUUUCGUUGAUUUGUCUCACCUCAUUCAAAUAAAUCUGAAUGCUAUGUUUUACUUGAGGGAAUAGCAAACACUUUUCACUUCUAAUCCGGAAUCUAUCUUUUCCUAGUUAGUUCUAUAAACCUGUGCUUUCCUGGGAUUGAAUGAUUCCAUAAUUUUUUGUUUCUUGCCAGCACUAAAUGAGGAAGACUACAUGUGGGAUUUUCGUGAACAAUAUAUUUUUGGCAGUGUCAUUCUGAAAGCUAAGAGGGAACAGGUUCUUAAUUUAGAUGAAGUGUGUAUGAGUAAAAUUUAUGAGUCUUAUUUGAGUUUUGUUGCAACACAGGAAAGAACUAAAGGGUAAAGUGAAAAAUGUCAAAGUGGCUCAAUAACAUGCUUGAUACCAAUCAACAAAUUCUCUUAGAAUAGGAUUAGGUUAUCAGUAUCAUAGAUUUCAAAGGCCCAGUCAUUCCAGUGUUCUGAGAAAUUGAAGUUUGUUCAGGUUGGUUCGUUCCUUGUAGUCCAGUAACCUAUGUUAUUAGGUGGGUCAUCAUGGUCUCUUUGUCUCAGAUGUUGGAGUAGAAGGUUGAGAAAUGGAAAUAUGAAUAGAAGUCUUUUUAACAAGUUUUUAAGCCUAAUCUGCCUAGUAUUUGUUUUAUUCUUAUAGAAGAAAACUCCCUUCCUGAUGUUUUCAUUCUUCAGCUUAGAAGCUAUGGACUCAUAAAAUUUCAUUUACCUAUUUUCUGCUUCUGUUCCUAAGAGAAACCAUUAUGAUUGACAAAUUCAACAAUGAUCUUUGCUGACGUUAGAUACUUAUCACAAGAUAGGUUGGGGAUCUAUUCUAUCUCUAGACAUCUUGAACAAAUCCUUUUACCAUUUCCUACCUUUGAGCAGGUCUAACUUCUUGUCAUGUUUUACAUGGUUCUCUUCAUCAACAGUAUAUGUAUUGACUCAGCAUACUAACAACUGCAGUCGAUCUGUGUAGUGAUUAUUUUUCCCAUUAGCAUCAUUUACUUUCAUGUAGAAGCAGUGGCGGGGCCAGAAUUUUUAAUAAGGGGGUUCAAAAUCUGAGAAGUAAACACACGAACUAGUGGAAGUGGGUUCGACAUCUAUUAUACAUACCUAAAAAAUAAUUUUAAUCAUGUAUAAAUAGUAAUAUUUUCCGCCAAGGGUGUUCGGAUGAACCCCCUAGGUAUAUGCUGCCUCCGCCCCUGUGUAGAAGUGUAUUUGAAUGUGUUGCGCAAAGUUUAAACAGCUUUGUGAAAAAACUGUUCACUGUAAAGUAUUGCCUGGUAUAUACAGUAUAUAACAAAAAGGCAUAAUCAGACAAGAACGCUCGUAAGUCACGUUGUAUGUCAACUAAAUUAAGUUGCCAGUUAUUAACAAAUACAUAUUUCAGAAGAAAUUUCUGGUUUCGAUUUGUAAAUCUCCCCUUAAUAUUAACUGCAAUAGUGCGGCAUCUUAUUUGCAUCAAACAGUAAGCACAUACAGGGUUUUCCCACAAUGCCCAUGAAAAUUUGGACCUGGGUAUUGCAAAUAUUGGUUAGCUGACCAUAUUUACUAUGUUUUCAACAUUCCAGUCGCCAGAAGUAUCCAUGCCCUUUCAUAACUUUCUUGUAUAUAAGUAUUAUAACUCCUAAACUUUUGGUAGGGGAUGUGUUUGAUAGUUGGCAACUUCCUCUCCUGUCUAUCUCGGCUUCAACCAUCAAGAUUUUGAUAUGUCUCUUUAUUUCUGAUCAAAGGAAUGUCAUUUUGUUUUCCUGAAAAUCCUACAUAUUUUUAGCAGGAUUGAAAAAUCUUCUUCCUAUUACUCAAACAAGCAAGAAAACUAUGUAAUUUUGGGCUUUUCAGUGAAUAAACAUCUUGCUUGAUGUGAUUUGUGAGACCAAUAUGAAAUGAAUUUGUAAUCACAGUGCCUAUAGUCUUUAGGAUUUGGGAGCGGGAGCAGUUCAUGGAGUUUAAAGAUGUGUGUUGACUGCAUUGAUUAGUGGAUAUGCUUUUCUGAUUUUUUAUCUGCAGGGCUUUGCUAGUAAAUAUCGUGAUGAUCCAGGAUAUCCUAUAUUCAGAACUCUAUUGGUUGUGAAUAAUGUUAUCCAUUUUGUCACUUACUCAUUGCAUCACUCAGAAGGAAACAACUGUAGUCUUACAACUCUUCAUAAAUACACUCUCCAAAAUAGGGUACUUGAUGCUAUCAGUUUCUACGAACUUGCUUGCAAGAUCCCUUAUGCAUAGUCAUCUUUUGUUGGGAUGGGCAGGCACUGAACUGGCUCCUAAUUCUUCAAUAACAGAAUAACAUUUGUAUUUAGGACUGAAAGACUGAGCAGAUUUACGGUUUACCAUUCCCCACCUCCCUUUUGGGGCACUAUUAGAGAACUCAUUUAGUGUGUCAACUAAAGGUUCCAUCUAUUACUUGUAUUAUUUUCUCAAGGUCUUAAUUUAGAACUUUUGAAGCUAUGUCGUUGCCUGUCAUCCAACGUGUUUCUAUUAAAUCACUUAUGUUAACUCCUCCUUGGUGGUGCUAUCUCAGACUAGUUCAGAAGCCUGGAAACUGAAGUCCCGUUGUUACCAUGACAAGUUGGAUCCGACUAGGAGGUUAUCCAACUGAAUUCUAUCAAAAAUGAAAGGUAUAGAUUCUUCGUGUGAAAAAAUAAGAGUUGACAGGUUAAGUCAACAGUGUGAAUAGCAUUCAUAAGGACAGGAUAAGAAAAGGCAUAUGCUCAAUGGAGUGCUCAACAGAAGGGUGCAUGUUGAACAGCAACAGUGACCCAAACAAAACUUUGGUCCAGGUAAAGUGAACUAUGGAAUAUGGAGCAAGUACUGUCACCGGGCAUUUGGCAUCAAAAAGAGCAAAUUUCUGAGACAAGAAGUCUCGUAGCAGCCUCUUGAGUUAGAAGAGCUAGUUUCUCUUUUCCAUGUGUGUGGCUUAAUGAUUUUUGAGGCUAUGGACCAUUGAACCAAUCCGUUGGAGCUUUCUCCACACACAUCUAAUAUUGCCAGUUGGUUUUCAUGAAGUGAAAAGACAUUUGCAAAUGAGAUAUUUGGUCAAGUACUUCGAGAGUAGUAAAAAUUGUUUUCAGAAGCUAGAACAAAAACAAUUUUUGCUUAAAAGUAUUCUUUUGUUGUUGUGAAAAAUGCACUUAGAGAUGCUUUUUAAAAAUGUAGCCAGAACACUAAUUGUUGCUCAAAAUUACUUCUUAUAUUGAACAGCAAAACACAAAAUCUUUGUUUUAUUUUCCCAAAGCAGGCGAUUCAGUAAAUUUGAAUUGCUUGAGUUCCAGGGAUUCUUGAUACAUUACAUCAGUAUUAUGUUUGUUUGGCUGUUUCAAAUUUGUGCUAAUUGUCUUUUCAUAUAGAAGUGUGUUCACUUCAUCAGAGCUAGAGAACAAUGUCAAAGUAAAAGCAGUAAAGAAAUAAGAAGUUGAAACAGAAGAUCCAUAUGAGAUUACUUCUUGGGGUUCAUAGAGACUACAGCUUUGUUCUACAAACUCAGUCAUCAGUCUGCACUGUACAAGUUACUUCUUCUAUCCUUACUAAACACUGAAUCAGCAGGUGUUCUGUAUACAAGCAAAAAAUAAACCCAAAAUGUUUGUUGUCAGUCCCCCAUUUGUAACAUCCUACCUACCACUACUCUGUAGUUAGCUAAAACCUCUCAAUUUCCUAAUCUUGAACUAGUCAUACUUCUUAAAAGCUAAAACCCAGCCAAACUGUGAUAUCUUCUGUGCUGCUAAAACAGAUGCACAAAAAGCAGCCAGAGAAAAUACUAACAGAAGCACCAUAGCACUAUUCAAACCCAUUAAUGGCUUAGGUUGUAGGAGCUUCUUGUGCUGCUUCAACAUAAGGUGACUGUACACUAUCCUCAUCAGAAUCACUCCCAGAAGAACUUCCUGAAUCUGUAAAUAUUAACCAUGGCAAAAGUAAAUAUACCAUCACACUUGUUAACCAGAAUGAACUAAAGAAAGAAAAAGUUAUACCACCGGAAGAAGAACCACUGCCAGAACUUGAGCCGCUAGAGCUGCUCGGAUCCUUGUCGAUCUGCACAGGAGGAAAGUUUUCACCUGGUAUUUCCUCACCAAUAUCAACAUCCUCCUCCACAACGUCCACUUUCUUGAUUUCAGGCAUUGCAUGUUCUGGUGUUGGUGCCUUCUCAGGCGACUUAUUUACAAAAAGCAACAUGGUGAUCAGCACACAUGGCACAAUAUAGAGUUACUUAACAAAUGUAUG